Molecule: ribosomal RNA, 402 nt
Filed under: uncultured Alphaproteobacteria bacterium
Lineage: Bacteria; Pseudomonadati; Pseudomonadota; Alphaproteobacteria
Description: bacterial SSU rRNA
Rfam family: Bacterial small subunit ribosomal RNA
Source: RNAcentral
CAGCGUUUGACAUGGGACGUAUGGUUACCAGAGAUGGUUUCCUUCACUUCGGGUGGCGUCCACACAGGUGCUGCAUGGCUGUCGUCAGCUCGUGUCGUGAGAUGUUGGGUUAAGUCCCGCAACGAGCGCAACCCUCACCUUCAGUUGCCAUCAUUUAGUUGGGCACUCUGAAGGAACUGCCGGUGACAAGCCGGAGGAAGGUGGGGAUGACGUCAAGUCCUCAUGGCCCUUACGCGCUGGGCUACACACGUGCUACAAUGGUGGUGACAGUGGGUCGCUAGUCCGCGAGGACAAGCUAAUCUCCAAAAGCCAUCUCAGUUCGGAUUGCACUCUGCAACUCGAGUGCAUGAAGUCGGAAUCGCUAGUAAUCGUGGAUCAGCAUGCCACGGUGAAUACGUUCCC